UCCAAAUCUCUGAAGAUAAACAUCACAGAUAAAUUUAUGACUUUCCAUUUAUCAGCCUUUUGAAAUUUCCCACUUAGGAGGAAUCUACUGGGUUGUGUGCCCUUUGCAAGCCCCACCCUACCUUUCUUCAGCCCGCAGGCUGCAGGAAGAGGAGCUGCCUCAACUUUUCAACAGUUAGAUUGACAGAGUAGUUACUCUUGCUCGAGUUAUUAACAUAGACAUGACUGCAUUGGACUGUGAGCUUCUAUAAGUCAGUGGAUCCUUUUAUAGCUGUUGGUCACUGGCUGCCUACUGAGUGUCAGGUGUGGUCCUAGUGUGACCGGAUCCUCACUUCCUUAGCAUAACUGACUCCAUCUUGACCUGAAGCUGAACCUGUGCAACUGCUUUCCUUGCCAACAAGAAGUAGAUCUUAGUGUUCUGAAAUUAUUGAUGAAUGGUUGAUCGUUGAUUGUUUCCAUAACGGGUUGCCCUGACUGCACUCACAGACCACCUCAGCCACUGCGUGCUGGGCUGCUGGAACCUAGCUGGCUUUCUGCACCUAACCCAUACACGGCUGUGCCACGCGGAACUCGGGACUGCACUCUGGGCGGUGCUUUCAGCUGUUGAGUGUAGUCACCAGCCGGCUUAAUAACAAGACUCCAGUUUGACUGAACGGGUCUUGGAUGAUCUCUGAGGCUUACCCCACAACAAGGCGUCAGACAUGUGUGACCUCAUUUAAUCCUCACAGUAGGGUGACCAGGUGUUCUAGAAAUCAGUCAUAAGUGAUUCGUGGUUACACAACAAGGCUGUAACUUUUCCUGCCUUUAAUUGCUCGAUCAAGCGCUCUCCUCUUAUAAAAAUAAAAUAAAGAAAGAAAAAAUAGCAGCAAUGGAGGUGAUGGCUAAAGCCAAGAGAGGCAUCAGGCUCCAGCCCUAAGAAG
Long non-coding RNA from Erinaceus europaeus (western European hedgehog), 919 nucleotides. RefSeq lists it as uncharacterized. Lineage: Eukaryota; Metazoa; Chordata; Mammalia; Eulipotyphla; Erinaceidae. The transcript has 3 exons. The record is from RefSeq and is a predicted model, not a curated record.